UCCCGCCCCCCGCCCCGCUCCGAACCGCGGCCCGGGCCGGCGGCGUCACGGGCCGUUUGUGACAGCUCCGCAAAGCCGCCCGCGGGGUCAUGGUACGGGCGGCGGCGAGCCCCGGGGGGCGGCCGCGCGGGAGCCGCGCAGUAAUCUCGGUUCAAGGAGGAGGCGGGAUUCUUUGUCUAACGGCAGCGUGCAGGAAGCUGAGGGAAGGGCUGCCUCUGCGCUGUGACAGCUGACUGGAAGACGGCGUUUCUUUUUGGAAGAAUUUCUGAUUUCCUCAGUUUGGGGAUUAUCUUUUCCUUAGGCUGUUAAUUUCUCUGUUUUACUAUUUUGAGUAUGCUUAUGACUGUUUCUCCUUGCUUUAUCAGCAGAAUAUAAUGGGACAUCACGUCAAGGAAUACACUGCCUUGUCCUGUAAAGGAAACUCAAAGUAUGAAGAACAUCACAACAUAAAUUCUAAAAAUACAAUACUGGGGGAACCAUUCUUUCAAAGAACAGAACAUUUUGUUUCGUAUUUUCUGUCUCUAAGCUAAACCUUCCAGUGUACACAGAUCAAGUGUCCAGUUCACUGAUCCUUACUUUCUAAAGCCGAUGUUAAGUGUUCCCGCUCAACCAAUAUGUCUUGUCCUGAGCUUCAGUGGCAUAAUAGAAACAUCACUAAAUAGGAGUUUGUAGAGCUACAGUUAGUUCAAGUUCAGGGCAGCCCUUACUUGCCUCGCGCAGGGUGUCCUCAGUUAACUCAGGCCUCUAGUGCUCUUCCAAAUGUGGAUCUGUCAAGCCCACUGAAAAUCUGCUGAUUUUCCUUACCAAGACUUCAUCUCUGCCUGUAUUUCCAGAGCUUUCCUCUAACUUUUUCUUACAGCUCACUAUGUACCUACCUUGUGCUUUUUAGCUAAAUAAAAUUAAGUCAUGCUUUGGA
Long non-coding RNA from Pezoporus occidentalis (night parrot), 916 nucleotides. RefSeq lists it as uncharacterized. NCBI's taxonomy places the organism in Eukaryota, Metazoa, Chordata, Aves, Psittaciformes, Psittacidae. The record is from RefSeq and is a predicted model, not a curated record. The transcript is spliced from 2 exons.